UCUGGCAGUCUUCGAUUGUCCGAGUUGUAAUCUAUAGAAGUGUUUUCCGUGCUGGACCGUGUCUAAGUCCCUUGGAACAGGGUAUCAAAGAGGGUGACAAUCCCGUGCUUGAUACGACCACCAGUGCUCUGUGAUACACUCUCUACGAGUCGAGUUGUUUGGGAAUGCAGCUCAAAAUGGGUGGUAAAUUCCAUCUAAAGCUAAAUAUUGGCGAGAGACCGAUAGCGAACAAGUACCGUGAGGGAAAGAUGAAAAGCACUUUGGAAAGAGAGUUAAACAGUACGUGAAAUUGUUGAAAGGGAAACGAUUGAAGUCAGUCGUGUUCAUUGGACUCAGCUAGUUCUUCUAGUCUACUUCCUUUGAACGGGUCAACAUCAGUUUUGUCCGGUGGAUAAAGAUAGUUUCAAUGUAGCUUCUUCGGAAGUGUUAUAGGUUUCUAUCACAUACACUGGAGGAGACUGAGGACUGCAGCUC
Molecule: ribosomal RNA, 474 nt
Filed under: Pascua guehoae
Lineage: Eukaryota; Fungi; Basidiomycota; Tremellomycetes; Trichosporonales; Trichosporonaceae
Description: partial large subunit ribosomal RNA
Rfam family: Eukaryotic large subunit ribosomal RNA
Source: RNAcentral